CACGCUUCCGUGGAAAUGCUUGCUCCAAACCUUGAAGUCCGCCCGUGGUUUUGCAGACAAUCGCGAAACCACAUUUUCAUCAACAGGUGCCCACACAGCCAGCGAGGGCUCGCAGUUGUUUUGUAGUGUGUUUGCCAACUUGAACCACAGAAUGUGAUGACUGCUGGCUCUCUGAGGCGUUAGCUGAGGCAUUACCAUCACUGUGGUGAUGUGCUGGAUGUUCCUCCACCCCACAGAGAGGGAAGAAAAGGCCGACCAGUGCCUAGAGAGAAAAUCCUGCUGCAGUCAAACGGCUUUGUGUGAUCUCUUGAAGAAGAAAGACUAUUUUUAUAUGCUAGCCCUCACCUAUCAAGGGUUGCUGGCCUGGAUACGCCCACACUUCAUUGGUCACGAUGGAUCAUCUCUCUGAGAAGUGACAGAUUGUCCCACAGCACCAGCGUGGCUUUGUUGCACUUACAAACACAAGGUUUUCUCUCAAAGUGCCUUCCCAAGUCGAAGACACAUCUUGGAAAUGUCUUUGUUGCCAUCCCAUUGCUCCUUAUAAUUCAUUACUGAUGGAGUCUGUCUUGUUCUUUUCUGGCUUCCUCCAUGUUAGGUCCUCUUUGGCUUUGGGCCUGAAUCCAUGGGGGUUUUUUUUUGGUGGUGUUUUUUUUUGGUUUUUUUUUUUUUUUUUACAAGGGGUUUAAGAGAAUGGGAUUAUCUCCCAUGACAAGGCUUUUUACACACCAUGCUGAUAAGAAUGACAAAAACAUAUGAAAAAAUAAAUUGGCCAACAGCUUUUCCUUGUAUUUUAGUCAUGUUUUUUUUAUAUCUCUGGUACCAAUAGCUCCCACAUUUCCCUCACAGUUAGGUGAUGACCUCCAGAGUCACCAAUACCAAAAGCUUUUUGGUUUCAUUUGGCUGAAGGCACUGCUGAACUUUACUAUUACCACCAAUAUUUCCCUGUGAGUGCUUCUGCAAUAACUGUGAUUCACAAGCACAUGGAAGAACACUGGAGAGCUGGAAAACUACUAUCUAUGAAGAAAAUUAGAAGAAAAAUUUCUGCCUUGAAAUGAAUUUAUUGGAUUCCUGUCUUCCUCAGAUAUACAGAUUGAGCCUUAACUACACAGAGGAGUUUUUUAUUGUUUCUGUCAAGGAGGAUGGAGUAAGGAUUCUGAUUGAAUAAAUGAUGUGUGUGAGGCAUGUCUGAUGACUAGCAAUCAUUGAUUUACCCAGCUUUAGUUUUCAAACACUGCAAUUGUUUCCCUAUUUUGUGUCCACUGUCUCUGAAACUAUAUUAUAUGUAAGUACUCUGAAUAUUUUAUAUUGCCAUGCUUCUUUUUCCUCAGGUUUCUCCCUCUCUUCUUUGAUCAGCAUUGUAAUGGCCUGGGC
Molecule: long non-coding RNA, 1371 nt
Organism: Taeniopygia guttata (zebra finch)
Lineage: Eukaryota; Metazoa; Chordata; Aves; Passeriformes; Estrildidae
Source: Ensembl